AAAUUUUGAGAUGCAUUCUUUGCUGUUCCAGUAAAGAUUGUCAUGAAACUGAAAGGGCUCCUGGGAGACAAACUCUCUACUCGGAACAUCGAAUCACAACACUUCUCUCAGGAAUUCUAGUUUUACUAACCACGAUCUACUGCGUCGAGAUGAUCCAAGCAAAUUCUAUUACUACGGAUAUUACCCGCAUGUAUCAAUUAGUAAGUAAACUACACAGCAGCCUAAUGCUAUGUCACAGCAAUCCGAAUAUGGUAACAAGUCGUCACUGAAAGGGAAUAAUGAAGAGUCUCAGUUUGAAGAGCUCAAGACCACCACCACCUUCAUCCUCCUAUUACACAUGUUCAUCAUCACCUAAUAAAUCACAGUCCUUGACACAAUUGUCAUCAUUCCCCGAACCUGCAUCUGCUUUGUCUACGCCAUUUCUAUCACCAAAAGGGCCCCCACUGUCAUCUUCUAGCACUUCAUAACCUGCAUCCUUCAUCCCAAGCAUCUUUGUCGUUGUCUAACCCUGCACUGUCUGCUCUCAGUCAAUCUUUAUCAUCACCUAAACCACCUUCAUUUAAUUCUGAACAACAUCAAUUACGUGCUAAGCCACCAGCAUCUCCAUCUCCCCGUAAAUCCUCUCAAUCUCUAUCUGGUUCUACUUUGACGACGAAAGACGCAGUGCCUAAAGUUUUGAAGAAGCCGUUGUCUCAGAAGGCUCCUUCAUCUUCUCAGCCUACCCUUUCUCCAUUCCCUUCUGAUUCAACAAAUCAGCAGAAAAAUGAUAGCUAUUUAUUGGUUGAGAAGGGCGCAUCCAAUUACAAGAUUCCUAAGGAUAUUGAAGAUUUGGUUAAGAAAGACAUUGUGCCUGACGUUUUGAAGAAGCCAUUGUCUCCCUCUACCUACAAAGAUUACUUUGCUGCACGGCUAGAUGCCGAGGAUUUCUACUAUGAGGUGACUAAUUAAUUAUGCCCUUUCUUCCUGUUUUACUUUAUUGUCUGAUUUCACGCGAUACAACCUCACUUCUACUAUCAUAUGUUGUAUAUAAUUUCUUUUCAUUGAAGACAUAUUUGUUCUGAUUAAUGCCGAACCACUCACUCAUGGUUAUGCUGCAAUUAAGAUGGUUUCUGAUUAAGUAAUCUAUGUACAUCAUAGUUAUGGAAAAGAUUUCAAAAUAGCCAGUACAAUUUACAAUGAAUCAAAGUUGACGCAUGGGAGCAUUAAAAAAUCUAGGGAGCUCUGUUAGAAAGGAUAUGAUUUGGGCUGGUAGCAGGUUGUAUUAAGCCAGAUUUCCGUUAUUCUGGGACCUCUUAAAGAAUCUAUCUAACCCGUCCGUGUAAGAAAUAGAACCAAACAGCAGAGAUUAUUAGAAUGGAUUAUAUUAUUUUACAAAAAAUGGCGCUAUCCACGCCCAACUAGUUUCCUUACAGAACCCCUUGAAAAACCAAUGAGAAAUUAUUACAGUGUAUCAGAUCAUAUUAACAAGAUUGGUGCUAUUUGCUCAUCACUUAUUUUCCUUAAUUAUAUUAAUACAAGUGAACUGAAAUAGUGAAAUGUUUAGAAACAUAAUUUGGAGAGUGUUGGAUUGGGGUUUGCUUCACUCAGGUGGGAAAGCAAAUUACGGGACAUCCAUAAUCCAUAGUUGCUUUAGACUUUCUGUAUACUUUGAUAUUUUACUGCAUUUUAAUUUACAUGAGAUGACAUGAUAAAUACAAAUAAUUACAAAUUUCAGAUAUUGUGACCAGUAUUUUUUUUAAUUCUUAUAUUUUGCCUAGAUGAUUUUGUGGAGAAACAGACUAUUGAUGUGACACCCUAGGCAAAUCUCACAUUGGUAAAGUACGAGAGAGAUGCUGGGUAUAUAAGGGGUGAUCUACACAUUAAUUGGCUUUGGGGUGUAUGGGCACCCCAUGAACAAAACCGUGCGGGCCUUAUUAAGGCCCAAAGCGGACAAUAUUUUACCAAGUUUGGGUUGGGUCAUAACAACUGAAUAUAAAUUCUUUCUCAUAAGAUAUAAAAAUAAGGGUGGGACAGAUGCAUUUUCAUUUUCCCUUCUUAAAUGGGUCCAAUUGUACUUGUAUUUAUGUGUUUUUCCCAUAUCUUUAUUUGUGCUUCUCUAUAGGAACUUUACUUGUAUUUUAUGUCUUUGAUUUGAUCAGAAGUGGAGUGAUUUUCAGCUAUUGAAUGUAACGUUGGAAUUAGGUGAAGCUACUCUAUAUGCUAAGUCACUCAAGAACAAGCAUUUGAAGAAGCAUGAUAAGAAAGAUGUUAGAUUCUUUGUAACCUUCGAAAUUGAUUCUGUUCCUGGGAAACGGCCAUUUCUCUUAUCUAGGGAUUUUGUUUAUGCACAAUGUUCAGGUGGAAUAUCAAGGAAGUUUCAAGCAAGUCUCCUUAUCUCACAAACAUAUAAUUUGUAGAAUCUCUUGCCGUGCUUUAGUGUGGUUGAUUUGCAUAUAAGCCAAAUUGAAAAUUCUAUUUUAUGCCUCUUUCUCCCUAAAUUUUGAAAUUUUUGUAGUAAUAUUAUAGUUACACAUUUCAAAAUAAAAUUUUAACAAUGCCAUUCGAAUUUUGAAAGCCUGCUAAUUUCACACUUGUUGUAAGAAUGGGAGCAUGAGGUAGGACAAUAAGAAAGGAUGGAUUAGUGAUAGAGUAGAAAAAAGAGCCCGUAAGUGGAAAAAGAAAUAGAGAGAAGAAAGGGAGAUACCCAUUUUUCAUUAUUCCAAUAACUAUCAUUUAUAAAACAAAAAUUAAUGCCCUAUUAUUGUGGCCAACAGAUAACUAAUAAUGGCAGACCAUAAUCAACUUCUUAGCAAAAAACGAAAUCUACUAGUAAUACAUGAUGAAAAAAUAAAUCAACCAAGGUAACUCCUUAUUCAGCAUUUCCUAAAUCUAUAUAACUUCAUUCUACAUCAUUGUGUCAUUUUGAUGGAAGCGACUGAACCUGACAGAUUAUAAUUUAAUUGUUGUGUGUGGCAUCCUAACAAAUCAACAUAAACUUCUGCUAGAUUUUUCAUACAAGUGAGUAAGUGCAUAAAUUUUUUACAUGACCACACAUUGAAGUCUGACCUUAUAUGGCCGUUUCAUUAAAAUUUUAUCAAUCCAACCAUUAUUUUUCAGUUUGAACUUCAGUUGAGGAACAAAUGCGCUGUUUAAGAACAUAUUAUAAUUUUUGCACAAGGACAUCCAUUGAGUUUAGUGACGAGCCAAACUAAGCCUGAUUGAUAUUUCCUUGAUAGAAAUUAUUUGAUCUUUUUCCAGUCAUGCAAUUUGGAAACUAAUUUUUCUACGUUUGAGACCCAUUUCCAUCUGGUUAAUCUCGAUUGAAUUUGUACGAAGUGGUAACAUGUAAUGUAGCUUGGACUUAGUCAUUUUGUUUUAUGGUUUCAUACCUCCAUCUUUUCCAGAAUACCUGACCGGGGUAUUCUUUGUCGAGUGGUGAACAGUACUAACGUGUUGGUUGAAUUUGAAAAAGGAAUUUUAUUCUCAGCACCAACAGAACUGCAAAUAUGAUAUUAGCUUCUCAUUCAACAGAGUGUUUGAAACGGGCUCACCAGUCAACUGCAGCUGUGUCAGAUCAGUUAUUCCAGAACUGCCUUUUCCCUGUUUUUGCCUGUCAUAAACAUAUACCUUCGUCAGAACCUCACUUUUACGGCAAUUGUAAACUUGAUUUGGAUGGCAAUUCUGCAGUGCGUCAGACAUUGAGCUUACAGGGCCAGGCGGCCAGCCACCUUAUCUUGUGGAGGAUCCACUCUGUGACUAGAAAGAAAAAAGGAAUUACAAGAUGAAGAUGUAUUUGAGUACGUACUUUCAAAAAACUGGAAAUGUUGUUCGAGAAGCAGUGCUCCAAAUUUGUCAGAGGUUACCAAAUAGUCGAAUUCUCAUAUGUGCUCCUUCAAACAGAACAUGUGAUGUGCUAAUGAAAACUUUGACGAAGGUUAUUCCAGAGUCAGAUAUGUUUCAGGCCAAUGCUGUAACACCCCAAUUCGACUAACAAGAUACUACGGUGAAAUUGAGGUGGAACUGCAUUUUAUCAAUCUAACUUCUAAAACCACCAAAACAACAUCCAAUGAUAAAUGUUCUAAAUAGCAUUUAGAGAAAUGGAUGAGGUAACAGAUGACAUCUUCCAGGUGUUGAAGGGACUUGUCCUCCACUUGAGCAACUGAGACAAUACGCGGUGAUAUCUUCAACUUUUGCGAGUCGCUUUCGCCUUCACAAUAAAGGCAUUACUUUUUUUUUUUGGGUCUUAACCACGAGCAGCAGUCGCAGGGUCUCAACUGUGGGAGACACUUUUAAGUAUGUAACACAAUUUAAAUUAGAAGUCUCGCUCGAAUCGGAAGGCACAUAUUCUCCCAACAAAGGUGACUUCCCAACUAUUCGAACUGAAAAACAAAUUAAAUCAAGCUACUUAAGGGGACUCUAUUGCUAAUGGAGCCAACGCCUUGUUGGUCAAUAAAGGCAUUACUGCUGGAUAUUUUAGUCACAUUUUUCUUGUUGAUGCAUCGCCUACCAUCGAGCCAGAUGCACUGAUAGUUCUCAGUAAUUUGGCAAAUGAGAACACGACUGUAAUAGUCUCUGGUGCUUCUUAUGACCAUCCACGUUGGAUCCGAUCUCAUAUUGCUAAGAAGAAUGGAUUAGAGAUGGUAUAUUUUGAAAGACUUUGUUUUUCCGAGGCAUAUAGGAGUUGCCAUCCAAUGUUUCUAUUCGCGGCUGUCAACUUCCAUAGAAUAAAUCCGAUAGUUGUCUUCCAUUCACCCAUAUCAAUCUGCUAGUGGAGGUAACUAACGGAAACCUCUCCUGUAACUAAUUUGCUGCUGCUCGUGAUGUUGUUACUACUUGCCUCGUGUAUGUAUGUGUGGAUGCGAGAACAUUUUCUCUGUAACGAUAGUUCAAUACUCGUUACUCUUUUAUCUAUUUAAGGUUGUGACAGCUGUUUGCAAUUCUUUAUAUACAAAGAUUAGACCGUUCUUAUCCGUUGGCAAAGAAAAUUAGCCCAUUAAAUUCAAGCCGAUGAAUACACCGCCAAGCAAGAGGCGCAGUGACAAUAUCAACUAAGCGCGUUCUGGUUUUGCUUAUUUUUAUUUUUAAAUAUGAACGGAAUUCACUAAUAUCCGUUAAAAGAAUAAGUCACGUGGGAAGGGGAACCUCGUACGCUCGUACUAAAAGCCCAAAAAUGAAAAAUCUCUCAAAAUAUGAACGCUCGCUUAUUUUUAAUCUUUUUUAUUGUAAAUAUAAUAAUACAUUUAUUGCUUUAUUGGUGGGAAUUGGAAAUUUGGAACCCCGGACUCCGCAAAAUUUCCGCUUUGGUCAGCUUUCACUGUCUCAUCUCAUCUAGUCAUUAAAGCCCUUGCCGCGGGCGCAAGUGAUGACGUGGCGAUACUUGGUUGGGUUUGUAUAAUACUAGAAACGUCCGAGCUCUUCUUUUUCCUGCCUACUCAUUCAUGGCUUUUGAAGUGCUUCACUUUCACUGUCACCGAGUUAUUUGAAGAACAUAAAGUCAGAAAAGCUGAUCCGACAAUCAUCCCCAUAAUCCCACAUCUGCACAACAGCCAGAAGGUAAUCCUUCUUCCAUUUGAUCUUCAUUUACUUUGAUGUCAACAUAGUUUAUUAUCUUUGCCUAUGGUUACAGUCGUGCAUAGAUUAGUCAUAGCUUCUAGUGUUUAAUGGGGUUCAAUUUACUUUUAACAUUUCAACAACAUGCAGUCUCUUUCUUGUUCAGACUUAUCAUUUUUAAUUGUGUAACAAAGACGAAGACUUCUCUCAUUCAUUUAGUUUCAGAAUGAUAAUUACUUUCUUUGGUGUAAUUAAGUUUAUCUAUUCAUUGUUACAAACUUCAACCCUAAGAUUUCUCAUCAAAUGAACUAUAGGGAUUCAAAUUAUCACUCUCUGCAUCUCUCUCUAAACAUAAAUUGAUUUGCAUGUUUGAUUUAAUUUAUAUGCCUGAUCCUCUAAUUAUUCCUUGAUUUUUAGUUGUCUUGGUUAAAAACAGACUGUAGAGUUAAUUAGAUUUCAUAGAGAUGUACUCAGUGCAGCUGAUUAUUAUUAUUGUUUAUUUGUAUUCUUGAUAAAACCAAAUAGAGGAAAGAUGUAUAAAUGCAUGUUCUUUGGUUGCAGAGCAACAUGUCUGUGCUCGUUAAAAUUUUGAGAUGCAUUUUUUGCUGUUACGAUGAAGAUUAUCAUGAUACUGAAAGGGACUAUCGGGCGAGAUUACUUGGAACAUAUAAUCACAACUCUUCUGUCGGGAAUUCUAGUUAUCACAACUCUUCUGUCAGGAAUUCUAGCUUUACUAAUCACGAUCUUCUGCGUCAACAUGAUUCAAACAAAAUCUAUUACUAUGAAUAUUAUCCGAAUGUGUCAAUUAGUGAGCCAACUACAAAGCAGCCUAAUGCUAUGUCACAGCAAACAGAAUAUGGUAACAAAUCGUCACUGAAAGGGAAUAAUGAAGUGUCUCAGAGUUUAAAGAGCUCAAGACCAUCACCACCUUCAUCCUCCUGUUACACAUGUUCAUCAUCACCUAAUAAAUCACAGUCCUUA
This 6510-nucleotide long non-coding RNA is filed under the name Citrus sinensis (sweet orange). Its description in RNAcentral is "long non-coding RNA (CSIN_LNC002936)". Lineage: Eukaryota; Viridiplantae; Streptophyta; Magnoliopsida; Sapindales; Rutaceae. The record is from RNAcentral.